RNAcentral lists this long non-coding RNA (803 nucleotides) under Nicotiana tabacum (common tobacco). RNAcentral describes it as "long non-coding RNA (NTAB_LNC012264)". The record is from RNAcentral. Lineage: Eukaryota; Viridiplantae; Streptophyta; Magnoliopsida; Solanales; Solanaceae.
UGGAAAAAGUUCAGUCUAGGGUUUAAAACCCUAAUGCUGACUAAAUGGAAAAAGUUCAGUUUAGGGUUUAAAACCCUAAUGCUGACUAAAGAAAAGAGUUCAGUUUAGGGUUUAAAACCCUAAUGCUGACUAAAGGGAAAGUUCAGUUUAGGGUUUAAAACCCUGACUGGCUGGAAAGAGUUCAGUUUAGCGUUUAAAACCCUAAUGCUGACUGAAUGGAAAAAGUUCAGUUUAGGGUUUAAAACUCUAAUACUGACUGAAUGGGAAAAAGUUCAGUUUAGGGUUUAAAACCCUAAUGCUGACUAAAGGGAAAGUUCAGUUUAGGGUUUAAAACCAUAAUGCUGACUAAAGGAAAGAGUUCAGUUCAGGGUUUAAAACCCUAAUGCUGACUGAAGGAAAAGAUCAGUUUAGGGUUUAAAACCCUAAUGCUGGCUGGUUGGGGACAAAGUUCGAGGAUACUAACUGACCUCUUUUUUUGAAUUUUCUUAUUUUAGUAGAAGAUAAAAGGGAAUCUCGUGGAAACUUACCUCUCGAGUGGAUUCUUUAUUGCCAAACUGUUUCUUGUACUCAUGUACCUUCUUCGUUGGGUGACACCUGCUUCUUGCACGGUUGUCUUGGAUUAUACCUGUUUCAACUUCCCAAACAAAGAACAAUUGUUAGUUCGGAAAUGGCGGUUGGUUCGGUGACCUUGAUUGUUCCCAUUGCUUUGUUGCGUCCUUAUUUCUGUUGAGAAAUCCUGCCAUUGAUUGGAUUCAAAUGGCGAAACCCUUUUGGACUGCUCAGGCUUGUAUUUCCAAAUUCCG